GGAAAGCCCUUCUUGGUACUCGAGCGGCGAACGGAUGAGUAACACGUGACCAACCUGCCCCCUCUUUGGGAUAACCCUCGGAAACGGGGGCUAAUACCGAAUAUUACUUCUGGCCGCAUGGCUGGUGGUGGAUAGUUUUUCGGCUUGGUAUGAUCUCCCGGCCUAUCAUCUUGUUGGUGGGGUGAUGGCCUACCAAGGCGACGACGGGUAGCCGGCCUGAGAGGGCGACCGGCCACACUGGGACUGAGACACGGCCCAGACUCCUACGGGAGGCAGCAGUGGUGAAUAUUGCACAAUGGGCGGAAACCUGAUGCACCGACCCCGCGUGAGGGAUGACGGCCUUCGGGUUGUAAACCUCUUUCAUCAGGGACGAAGCGAGAGUGACGGUACCUGCAGAAGAAGCACCGGCCAACUACCUGCCAGCAGCCCCGGUAAGAUCUAGGGUGCGAGCGUUGUCCGGAUUUAUUGGGCGUAAUUAGCUCGUAUGCGGGUUGUCACGUCGACCGUGAAAACUUGGGGCUCAACCCCAAGCCUGCCGUCGAUACGGGCAGGCUACAGUUCCGUAGGGGAGACUGCAAUUCCUGGUGUAGGGGUGAAGUGCUCACAUGUCAGGAGGAACACCGCUGGCAAAUGCGGAUCUCUGGGCCGAUACUGACGCUGAGGAGCGAAAGCGUGUGGAGCGGACAGGAUUAGAUACCCUGGUAGUCCACGCUGUAAACG
Molecule: ribosomal RNA, 720 nt
Filed under: Micromonosporaceae bacterium FN0103
Lineage: Bacteria; Bacillati; Actinomycetota; Actinomycetes; Micromonosporales; Micromonosporaceae
Description: bacterial SSU rRNA
Rfam family: Bacterial small subunit ribosomal RNA
Source: RNAcentral